UAAGUUCGUGGUAGGUGUGUUUCGAGGAUCAUUCUGCAUGGUUCUGGUAGUGCCCAAUUAUGGACUAGGGAUAGAUUCAAAUGGAUACUCAUCUGUUUAGGGAAGGUUCUGCGAGAAGGUAUUAUGACUGGCCAUUUCCGAGUGGGAUUUUGGUGGAAACUCGUGUUAAGAAUCGCAAGUGUAUCCAUGCAAGGUCUGUAUCCAGAUCAAUGUGGGUUAAGAAAUUUGUAUGUCAAAGGCAUCAGCUGGAGGGUCCAAGAUUUAGCUUUCGUGUAUGUACUCCAGGAUGGUUCUACCAUUGUGAAGGUCGGGCAAUUGAGAUUUUAGGCUCAUAAAAGUAGUGUAUCGUUCGGGUGGCCUUGUAUGAAGAGAAGGAGAUUGCCUAGUAUGUUGUGAGGUGCAUGACCUGUAGGAUGGUCAAGGCCGAGUAUCAGAGGCCGUAUGGAAAGCUGCAGCCUCUGUAGGAUCCCAUGUGAAAAUGGGAGCAGAUUUCAAUGGACCUCAUCACCAAGUUGCCGAAGACGGAAAAGGGUUUCGAUGCUAUUUUGGUCAUCGUGGAUCAAUUGACCAAGAGUGCCCAUUUUCUGGCGAUUCGGGAGAGCUCGUCGGUCGAGAAGUUGGCCAAUGUGUAUAUUCGCGAGAUCAUUGCUCGCCAUGGGGUUCCGGUCUCUAUUUUUUUCAGACCGUGAUGUUCAGUUCACCUCCCAUUUUGGGCAAAAGUUCCAUGAGGAACUGGGCACGAGGCUAAUUUUCAGCACAGCUUAUCAUCCGCAGACCGAUGAACAGAGUGAGCGUACGAUUCAGACUGUCGAGGAUAUGUUUGGAGCAUGCGUCAUUGAUUUUAGUGGGAGCUGGGACUCCUACCUACCCCUUGCAGAGUUCUCCUACAACAACAGUUUCCAGUCUAGCAUUGGUGCUCCCCCUUUCGAGCUUUUGUAUGGACGGAGAUGUCGUACCCCAGUCUGUUGGGGCGAGGUUGGUCACAGGGUCGUGGGGCGGACCAAGGUGGUCCUUCAGACCACAGAGAUGAUCCAACAGAUUACGCAGAGAUUGUAGACUACUCAGAGUCGGCAGAAGAGCUAUGACGACUGAUGUCGGUAUGAGUUGGAGUUUUAGGUCGGCGACAUAGUGUUAUUGAAGGUCUCACCAUGGAAAGGUGUGAUUCGCUUUAGAAAGAGGGGGAAAUUGGGUCCUCGGAUAUAUUGGACCAUGGUUGGCAAGGUUGCUUAUAGAUUGGAUCUUCUAGAGGAGCUCAUUUAAAUUCAUAUCACUUUUCACGUUUCGCAGCUGAGAACGUGCAUACCGGACGAGGAUGCAGUUAUAUAAUUGGAUGAUAUUUAGGUUGAUGAACGCCUGAACUAUGUCGAGAGGCCGGUAGCUAUUCUGAAGAGGAAGAUGAAGGUUUUGUGUAGCAAGGAAAUACCUUUGGUAAAGGUAUGGUGGCAGCACUGGAGGGGCUCUGAGUGGACCUAGGAGCCGGAGGCUGAGAUACAGGAGAAUUAUCCAGCUUUGUUCUCUGUAGUAGGAUUCGAGGACGAAGCCUAGUCUAGGUCGGGGAGAGUUGUAACAUCCCGAUCUCCAGGUAUGAGAUUUAUUCUUAAAUCAAGUUUUCCUUUGGAACUUGUCGAGUUUAUAGCCUCAACUUGGCGUGUUCCAAAGGAAAACUUGAUUUAUGAAUAAAUCUCAUACCUGGAGAUCAGGAUGUUACAACUCUCCCCUACUUGGACUAGGCUUUGUCCUUGAAGUCUGCUACGGAGAAUAAAGUCGGAUAAUGCUCCUGCAUUCAACUCGGCGUGUUGAAGGGCUUUUGGACCGUACAUUUUUAUGGACCAACUCAGCGAGUUGGUGUGGAGAACUCGACGAGUUGAUGGUUAGGUGUGAAACCCUAAAUUUUAGGGUUUUGCACCCUAUAUAACCUCCUUAAGUCCUUAAGGCUGAUCUUUUAUCAGCCUCCAUGUAAUGACCCAAUUUUCACGCCCAAAAAUUUCAUUUAAAAUAAGUGGUUUGUAAAACAUUUGUAGUAAAACAUCAUCCGAUCAUAUCAUUUCAUAAAACAUAUCACGUGUCUGAAAACCCAAAACAUGAAAGUAAUAAUAAUGUCAGAGUACAAUCCCAGAACAUCUCAUAAUGCGGAAAACCAAUGUGUGUGUAUGAUGUGCCGCUACCGCGCCAGCUCCUUCCCCUUCGCUGAAGAGGUACCUGAAACCAAAACUGAAAACUGUAAGCACGAAGCUUAGUGAGUUCCCCCAUCGUACCACAUACCAUACAAUCAUAUCACAUACAUACUACCAAACAUUUCUGGGGUGCCCGACCUACCCGGUACGGCCAUUCUGGGGUGCCGACCUACCCGUACGGCCAUUCUGAGGUGUCGUCCUUCCCGUGUCAAGCCAUUAUGGGGCGCUGACCUACCCAUGUCGAGCCAUUCUGGGGUGCUGACUACCCUUCGGUCCUAACAACCGAACCUCGGGGACUAUUUCACCCCCUACUACUACUAUCACAUAUAACAUAACAUAAACAUAUUAUCAGACAUAUCUGAGGUGCCUGAACUACCCUUCGAUCCUAACAACCGAACUCGGGGACUGGUACCCUCCUACUACCUCUAUCGCAUAUAACAUAACAAGCCAGCAUGCAAACAUAUCAUCACAUACUGUCAGAUGUAUCUGGGGUGUCUGACUACCCUUCGGUCCUAACCACCGAACUCUACUACUAUCACAUACAACAUAUCAUGCUAGCAUAUAACAUAUCAGGUAGUAGCAAACCUAGAUGAUAUCACAAAGACAAUCAUCUAUCAUACGUCUCCUACUGGUGGGCCGGCAUUGUGGCCUUAGACCCACCGCUACUGGAAGGUAACUCACCUCGUAGUAGUUGUUGAACUAUGCGAGAAUCCUCUGAUUGCUGCCGCUGCUGCUCCGGAAAUCCUCCGGCUAUAAUUCCCACAAAACACUUAGUCAGAAACUGACAUCUACUCUUAGGGUAAAAUGAGCAUUUUACCCCUGAUCAAGUCAAAGUCAAAGUCAACUUCUAGUUCACCUGACUCGCCGAGUUGGCUCGCCAACUCGCUGAGUCUUUAUCCUUCCAUUAGACCUCAAACCCGUCUCUACUCGUCGAGUUAGGCGAUGACUCGACGAGUUUUCCUUCUAAAUGAACAUCAACUGAAUCAUCAUCCGACUCGCCGAGUUGUAUGAACAACUCGUCGAGUUCAUCUUCAUCCUUAAGAAGAUUGCCUUGGACUCGCCGAGUCUGUUCAUGCACUCGCCGAGUCCCAUGAAUUUCCAGAACAAUGGCUUAGUCCAGAAUGUUGGUUCACUCCUUAGGACCCCCUUAAAACCUUUCCACACUCAACUGGGUUCUUAUGACCCUCAACUGAUAUGGGACAGAACCUUGGACUCGCCGAGUCCAAGAACGGACUCGCCGAGUUGGUCAUAACCACUCACUGAAUCUUCGCUUUCUGAUGUACAACACUUGAUCAAAAUGUAGAUCUAUGCUUCUACAAUUGAUCUAGCACGUAAAGUUACAACCUUUACGUGUUGGCAUGGGACUUUAAGCUCAAAAGGUCCUAAAACAAGAUCUCACAAUGCAUGGGGCCUUCCUUGAGUGCAAAAGCCACUCCUUUUUGCCUUGUAACCCCUCAAAGGACCUAGAUUUGAAACAUCAACCUCAAACCAUGCUUGCAAUCAUGGUUGGUGACCAAAAUGGCUUAGAAAAGCCCUAACACUCCACAAAAUGGGAUCUAUCAAAAGAGCAAGCAAGGUAUAGACUUUAUACCUUAUGAAGUCAGCAAAUGAUGCUCAAAACUGAAUCCUUCUAGCCUCCUCUUGAUCCUUCAAGCUUUUCCUUCCUUCCUUGGAUCACAAAAGCACCAAAAUCACUCCAAAAGCCUUAGAUUGCUUCAAUAACGGCUAGGGUUUGCUAUGGGGGGUCUUCUGGGAGCAAAUGGGACUAAGGAGGCCGAGUUAAGGUGUUUAAAUAAGGUGCAAACCCUCGGAUUAGGGUUUUUGCCCAAACAGGGUCUACUCGCCGAGUCCACAACUUAAACUCCACGCCUCAUCCCGCUUCUACUCGGCGAGUUGGUCCUUCAACUGGCCGAGUCAAAGACCAAAUGCAAAAUAUUUAAAGAUUUAAUAAAAAGAACACGUACCAAGAACCAGGUGGUACACUCCAAACCCCCCAUAUCGGCCCUUGUGAACCCUAAUCACUCUUCCCUAUCAUUUUGUGAGCUAAUGUGGUACUUUUGGAGAAAAAGAAUAAGAAGUUGGAAGAAGGAAGCAAGGAUCUAGCAAGUAAAGCUCUCAUCUUCAGUUUGGCACUCUUCUGGACCUUUGUAACUAUCCAAGAUCCGAUUUUUAUUCCUCUAUGUAGCUAAAUCUUUAGUUUUGUCCCUUUUCUCCUUAUUCUUGGUUGUUGCUAUGGAUGGAUUUCAUAUAGGUUGCAACUUUAUGAAUCUCCAGGUCAAGGUGACCUUAUAGUGGUUUGGAUCUGGUCAUUAGCCAAGUCUUGAUGCCAUGCAUGGAGGUUAGUUCAUAUUUUCCCUUUUUGACCCAUUUUGGGUUCAAGACGUGCAUUGAACAUGCAUUUCUAUAAAGCACCAACCUUUAGGAUGUUUUUGAGGCUAGAAUCUCUUCUGGAAAAGUUGGGUUUCAGAUCUCAAGGAUUUUGUGAUUAAUCGAUAAGCCCUUGAGUUUUCAAACCUUGUAGAGGGGUUUUUGAGCACUUGGAGUUUCCCCAAAGGAUAAAGUUGGAAACUUUAACCUUUUAUACAACAUUUGAAUUUAGAUCUAAGCCUUAGAGUCCCUAGAAUCGAAGAAUCAACUGAAUGUGUUAAGCUGGGGAAAACUCAGCGAGUUGACUAGGGUUUUCCCGACCUUCUGAGUACUCUAGGAUCUCGACGAGUUCAUUGGUGCACUUGACGAGUUGGGUCAACAUGGACUGUUGACCGUUGACUCUGACUUUAACCAUGGUUGACCAAGUUUGAAUUUUGAGGGCAAUUUGGGUAUUUUGGGAUUUUGAUGGAACUGGUGUCAUGGUGGUUGUAGGCAUUCAAGUCAAGAGCUGAGAUUCGGAGUCAAACCUCAUCAGUUUUGCACUACUUGUGAGGUGAGUUUCCCUCGCUAUACUUUUGGGUCGAAGGCACCAAGACUGACCUAUUGGUUUGAUAACCGGAUAUCGUUGAUAUUGUUGAGUAUGGAAUAGAUAUGCAUGCUAGUUUUGAUAUGCUAGUUGGUAGAUCUAUAAGACUACUUGUGACACUACCUGUUUAUCUGUAUAUGAUGUUAUCUAUUAUAUGUCGACAUAUUGUGUGGGUUGGGUUGAUGAGCAUUCCAGAUACGAGCAAAGGAUCGGGAAGGGCAUGUCAGACUCGUAUUAAGGUCUUAGUGGUAUUUAGUCUGAGGAUUGAUCAGUUCGGGGAGCAAACCAAACAUAAGAUGUGGGCUAAGGGCAAACCAGACUUAUGUUGUGGGCUCACGGGUAAUCCAGUUUGUUAGAUGUAGACCCAUGGCAUGCUAUUAUUAUAUUUGUACUAUUUGCUAUGUAUUGGUAUUUUGUGGAAACUCACUAAUCUUUGGGCUUACAGUUUUGGAUUAUGUUUCAAGUACUUCAGAGGAUCGCGGGAAGGCGAAGGCGUGAUCGUGCACUUCCUCAUGUUUUGUUUCAUGAUUUUGGGAUUACUCCGAUAUUGAACUCGUUUUGAAAACUAUUUGUAAACAAUUGUGGUUUUUCACUUUAAUUUAAAAGUUUAAAUUUUCAAUAGUUUUAUGGAUGUUACAUAUAGGUUCAUAAUAACGACUAUGAAUAUAAAUAUAAGUUACACUUAAAGCGUAAUAAGUAUAACUAAACUUACAGGUUUUCUAGCGAAAGUUCAGAAAGUCGUAGGUAGAAUUUUGACUCUAAAUACUUCUUUUAUCGGGCUCUCGGAUGCAGCAUCGCCUCGCUAUGACUGCUCUGGAACUUCGAAGUCAGUCCUCAGGGUGCGGGAAAAAUGUCGAGAGAGUUUGGAGAGAAAACGGUGUGUAAAUGAACAAAAAUUAGGUCAUAUAUAUAUAUAUAUAUNNNNNNNNNNNNNNNNNNNNNNNNNNNNNNNNNNNNNNNNNNNNNNNNNNNNNNNNNNNNNNNNNNNNNNNNNNNNNNNNNNNNNNNNNNNNNNNNNNNNNNNNNNNNNNNNNNNNNNNNNNNNNNNNNNNNNNNNNNNNNNNNNNNNNNNNNNNNNNNNNNNNNNNNNNNNNNNNNNNNNNNNNNNNNNNNNNNNNNAUGGGCUCUUAUUGUGACACGUUUCACACGUAAGGUGGUUCCACAUCGUCUUAAACAUGUAUAAUUUUGUGAUAUUCGAAAAAAUUAUAUAUUUCACAUACGAGCUUCUUUUUCAUCGUUAUUUAUACUCCCAGUUUCAUAUCGACGAGUACUACAACUUCUAUUUAGAUUUUAUCAGCUAAUUCGCAUUCUAUUUUUAUUUUACAGUCUGUAAAUGUUACACUAUAAAAGACCUUGUGAAAAUAAUAAUUUCUUCUUACAAUCUAUGUUCUCAAUGUUCUUUAUAUCUACAUAUUCGUAUUCUCGAGGAAAUCAAUUCUCAUUAAAAAAAAUUUGGCUAACAAAGAACAUAUCUUCGUUUGAUAUUUUAUGACGCACAAUAUUGUAUUGGGUUAAACGUGAAACUUUAAAAAAUCAUAAGUUAUUCAUACGAAGUCGGACUUAAGCGUUCUUUAUACUCACGACUUCGUAAUUACGACUACUACAAAAUUUUUCAAGAUAAUUUAUCCUAAAUAAUAUUUUAUUUGUAAACGUUAUUUUAUCGCUUUUCGAGAAAUUUAUAAAAAGAUUUAUACAAAUAUUAUAUAUCCAUAAUAUGUGUCCACAUAAUACAUAUAUAAUAAAUAAAUAUUUAUAUAACUCGUAACGUUUACAAAGAACAACUACUUAAUGCUUUUAGGCUUCGUUUGAUAUAAUAAUUAUAAUUUAAUGAACUCUUCGAAUGGAAAAGAAAGCAUUUGAAAUAGUUUUGAAAGUAAAAAGUUUUGAUUGACGAUCACGUGAACUUUUUUCAAAAGAGUACGCUAAAAUUUUGAAAAGUAAAUGAUUUGAAUAAACGAACAUUUACAAAAGUAGGUAUUUAAUAUAUGUCAAUUUGAAAGAUUGUGAGAUUCGCAAAAGUAAAUGACUUGAAUAAAUGAAAUCUUUACAAUAAUAAAUAUUCGUUGUAUGUGCUUAUGAAAGACAAAAGAAUGAUAUGAGCUUAUACUAAAUGAUUAAUUUGUUAAUACUUGAUUUGAUAAGUUUUUCAUAUUAUGCAAGUUAAUAUUGAUUAGAAAAUAGAAUAUGAUAAUUGUUUGCGAUUGAGUCACAAAAAGAAAAGUGAUGAUCAUAAGUACAUUGAAUGUGAGUGCAUAAGAUAAACUAGUUUCCAGAAAAUUACGAUAUCCUGGGAAUGAGAUAAGGGACGAAUCUACCGAGACACUACAUCAUUUCGCAAGGUAGAGGUCGAGCGAUUCCUUAAUGGGUUUAUUUGUUCUUUCUAUAUUGGGAAAUGUUGAUAGGGUUAUAUUUCUAGGUUUCUCUUCAAGGUUUGGAUCGGUAUGACUAAAGGGCUGUAUAUUAAUACGAAGGUAUUAUACGAAAAGGCUUAUAAGGUUUUGUCUUAUUUGAUCAUCCAUUACAUAUAUAAAUUACAUUGCAUGAAGUAUGUUGAAAUGAAUAUUUUAAUCAAAUGUUUAAUAAUGAACUAUCUGCACAUAACCGAAUGACCUUGUGCAAACAUGAAUAUAUGAUACAGGAAGGCCCGUAAGGUUUGAUCAUGUUGAUGAUUUUGCACCUUGUGUAUAUAUGUUAAGACAUACGAUGUAUAAUGAUUUGUGUCUAAACUUAUAUAGCUCAUGAGACAUUGUUAUCUUACGUAUGUUUGUUAAAUGAUAUGUAUUUCAGUUUCAAAUACUAAGGGGCUGUUUGGUAGGAUCUGAAUUUUUAAGAUCUGAAUUUUUAAGUGGUCUGAAUUUUUAAGAGGGUCUGAAUUUUUAAGAUCUGAAUUUUUAAAUGUUGUUUGUUUAGAACCUCUGAAUUGCAGUGCUGAAUUAUAAAAAUGACCAUUUUGCCCUUCUAUGUUAUUUUUUGCUAAAUUCAAUAUUUUUGCUUAUAAAAUAACCAAAUCAAACAUAACAUUAUCAUUUCGUGAUUAUACCCCAACCAACUAAUUGCAAUAAUACAAGAAAAUCAAUAUUUUAUAUCACAAAUGACAAACCUAUUUCUUAAUUGUGGCACCCAAAACAAUCAAAACCUCCAAUUCAAGAGCUUCACAGAUCUUCACAAUUCUUCAACUAUAAAAAGGGUACAAUAGAGACUUGAGAGCUGAUCCUUGACUGGUUUGACCUUCUAUGGCUUUAAAGGAACUAUUAGAGUUGUGGUUGGCAAUGGGAGGGUAGUAGUUGAACCAUAUAUUGUUUUAAUGGCAGAUAGUAUUGGAUCACUCUCUUCAACCUAUUGAGGCACAAUAUAGCCAAUUCCUGAUGACAAGUUAAUAGACAAUGUAUCAAAACAAUAAGGAGUCAUGAUUUUUGAUAAAUUGAAGAUGAAUGAAUGAAAUGAAAACAGAAUAUGGAAGCAAUUUCAAUAAUUUCAUAAUGAAGUGAAAACAGAAUAUGUCGUGUGUAUCCCUGUACAAACAUUGAAGAAAGCUUCAGCUUACAUCUAAUUCUAGUUUCUUUUCCUGCAAUUGUGCUGAGAAGACAACAAUAUCAAAUUUUCAAUUGAUACCCUGAUUUCAAAAAAAAAAAAAGGAAAAAAAGGAAAACAAUGGUCUGAUUUCAGGAAUGAUACUCUAAUUUCAGGGGAAAAACUACGAAACUCAAUUUUCAAGAAUUAAACUCGAAUUGCAGAGCAAGAGAAAAAGAAAAACUUUACCUAUACAAGAUGUCGGAGGCGAAGUCGACAACACCGGUGGUGUUGCAGAUCGGAUGCAGGCAAUGAAAUCGAUUUUCAGAAGAAGAGAAACAUACCUGCUGGGCAGAAUUCGAAAACGAGUUCGAGCCAGAGGACAUGCGUCGGCGUCGGCGUUGCAGGGUGCAGCAUCGUCGACGUUUUGGGUGGACGUGAACCUCGUCGGAAUCUUGGUGGUGAAGAGAAGCAGAUGCGAAUGGGAGCACACACGAAGGGAAGGAAAGGUGAUGAAGCGUUUGUCGGUCUUUCUUUAGGGCAAAUUAGGUGCGCGUCAUUUUUUUUAUUUUUCAGACCUUGUUCAAUAUCUGAAAAAAUAAGAGGUAAUUAUAACUUUAAGAGGUAAAAAAUAAGAUGCAAACAAACGAUCUGAAUCUGAAAUUUUAAGACAUUGCCUCUUAAUUUUGCAAUUAAGAGGUAAACAAACGGGCCCUAAGGACUAGAAGAUUUGGAUAGUAUCGAUAGAAGAUUUGGAUAGUAUCGAUAGCAGGGAACUUUUAAAUGAUAGUAAUUUGAUAGUUUUUAUAUGUAUGUAAAUUUACUGUUUUAUUAUGGUUUGUAAGUUAUCAUACACCUCCUAGAUGUUUUUUUAAUAACAUGUAAUUGUUUUGGUUUUUGUGGAACCACCAUGAGUAUGAAUUAAUUAAAAAAAUAUUUUCCAAACCAUAAUAUUUUAUUAUAUGAAAAUAUUUUAGUCAUUUUACAUGUAUUUAACCAUCAUUUUCUACCGAUAUUAGUCAUAAGGACCCAGUGCAACAUUUUAAACUCUCAAUGACUAUUGGUAUUAAAAAUUCCUUAAAAAGACUUGUAAUUGUAUUUUUGUCAACCACAAAUAUCAUUUAUAUAAUUUUGUCUAUUUUUCUCAUUGGGUUUAUUUUACUUCACACAUUAUAAAUCAUGUAACAUAAUGUAACAUAAUAAAAUAAUUUAAUAUUUAACAUUUUAAAAUACAUGAUAUCAUCUCAAUCAACUAAUGAUGUAUCAAUUGGUCAUGGGGUUUUUUUUUUAAUACAAGAAGGGAGUUUUUUAUCUUCAAAUCAGCAUAUGACGAGUUCCCAAGCAUUUCUGGCAGGGUUGUUUGUCAUACAUAAUAGUUUUUUUGUCAUACACAACAAUUCAUGCAUUAUAUAAUUGUACAAUAUAACAUUUUAAAGCACCAACUGUUAUGUAUGAAAAAAAAAAUUUAUUGUGUAUGAAUUAACUCCCUACGAAAAAUUAUAGUUUUGUAAUUAUAUGAAAACUGCCAAUAUUCUAUUUUUGUAAAUUAAUCAAGAGUUUACCUUAUUAAUCUACUAUGCAUUAUCAUUUCUUUUAAUUCUUCCAAAAAAAUAUAUAAUAUUAGAUAUUAUGAAUAUAGAAAUGGACACCAGUGUUUUAAAAACCGGUUUGAACCGGCCGGUUGAACGGUCGAACCGGGAACCGGAGGUGAGGGCGAUUCGAUUUGGACCGGUUUUAUAAUGAUUUUCUGACCGGAUUGAACCGGCCGGUUUUGGUAAAAAACCAGUUUAACCGGCAGAAUUGAACCGAAAUGAACCGGGUUGAACCGGACAUUCUUGGAUUUAUGUGUUUGUUUUGGGUUUCUUUGUUUGAUUUUGACUUCUAUAAUAAUUGUUUUUAUAUGUUGCCAAGGGCGGAACAUGGGCUCUAGAAUUGGAGGGGCCGUAACCAGAAAUUUAAAACAAAAUGAUGUAUAGAAAAUAGAAUAUGAUAAUUGUUUGCGAUUGAGUCACAAAAAGAAAAGUGAUGAUCAUAAGUACAUUGAAUGUGAGUGCAUAAGAUAAACUAGUUUCCAGAAAAUUACGAUAUCCUGGGAAUGAGAUAAGGGACGAAUCUACCGAGACACUACAUCAUUUCGCAAGGUAGAGGUCGAGCGAUUCCUUAAUGGGUUUAUUUGUUCUUCCUAUAUUGGGAAAUGUUGAUAGGGUUAUAUUUCUAGGUUUCUCUUCAAGGUUUGGAUCGGUAUGACUAAAGGGCUGUAUAUUAAUACGAAGGUAUUAUACGAAAAGGCUUAUAAGGUUUUGUCUUAUUUGAUCAUCCAUUACAUAUAUAAAUUACAUUGCAUGAAGUAUGUUGAAAUGAAUAUUUUAAUCAAAUGUUUAAUAAUGAACUAUCUGCACAUAACCGAAUGACCUUGUGCAAACAUGAAUAUAUGAUACAGGAAGGCCCGUAAGGUUUGAUCAUGUUGAUGAUUUUGCACCUUGUGUAUAUAUGUUAAGACAUACGAUGUAUAAUGAUUUGUGUCUAAACUUAUAUAGCUCAUGAGACAUUGUUAUCUUACGUAUGUUUGUUAAAUGAUAUGUAUUUCAGUUUCAAGUACUAAGGGGCUGUUUGGUAGGAUCUGAAUUUUUAAGAUCUGAAUUUUUAAGUGGUCUGAAUUUUUAAGAGGGUCUGAAUUUUUAAGAUCUGAAUUUUUAAAUGUUGUUUGUUUAGAACCUCUGAAUUGCAGUGCUGAAUUAUAAAAAUGACCAUUUUGCCCUUCUAUGUUAUUUUUUGCUAAAUUCAAUAUUUUUGCUUAUAAAAUAACCAAAUCAAACAUAACAUUAUCAUUUCGUGAUUAUACCCCAACCAACUAAUUGCAAUAAUACAAGAAAAUCAAUAUUUUAUAUCACAAAUGACAAACCUAUUUCUUAAUUGUGGCACCCAAAACAAUCAAAACCUCCAAUUCAAGAGCUUCACAGAUCUUCACAAUUCUUCAACUAUAAAAAGGGUACAAUAGAGACUUGAGAGCUGAUCCUUGACUGGUUUGACCUUCUAUGGCUUUAAAGGAACUAUUAGAGUUGUGGUUGGCAAUGGGAGGGUAGUAGUUGAACCAUAUAUUGUUUUAAUGGCAGAUAGUAUUGGAUCACUCUCUUCAACCUAUUGAGGCACAAUAUAGCCAAUUCCUGAUGACAAGUUAAUAGACAAUGUAUCAAAACAAUAAGGAGUCAUGAUUUUUGAUAAAUUGAAGAUGAAUGAAUGAAAUGAAAACAGAAUAUGGAAGCAAUUUCAAUAAUUUCAUAAUGAAGUGAAAACAGAAUAUGUCGUGUGUAUCCCUGUACAAACAUUGAAGAAAGCUUCAGCUUACAUCUAAUUCUAGUUUCUUUUCCUGCAAUUGUGCUGAGAAGACAACAAUAUCAAAUUUUCAAUUGAUACCCUGAUUUCAAAAAAAAAAAAAGGAAAAAAAGGAAAACAAUGGUCUGAUUUCAGGAAUGAUACUCUAAUUUCAGGGGAAAAACUACGAAACUCAAUUUUCAAGAAUUAAACUCGAAUUGCAGAGCAAGAGAAAAAGAAAAACUUUACCUAUACAAGAUGUCGGAGGCGAAGUCGACAACACCGGUGGUGUUGCAGAUCGGAUGCAGGCAAUGAAAUCGAUUUUCAGAAGAAGAGAAACAUACCUGCUGGGCAGAAUUCGAAAACGAGUUCGAGCCAGAGGACAUGCGUCGGCGUCGGCGUUGCAGGGUGCAGCAUCGUCGACGUUUUGGGUGGACGUGAACCUCGUCGGAAUCUUGGUGGUGAAGAGAAGCAGAUGCGAAUGGGAGCACACACGAAGGGAAGGAAAGGUGAUGAAGCGUUUGUCGGUCUUUCUUUAGGGCAAAUUAGGUGCGCGUCAUUUUUUUUAUUUUUCAGACCUUGUUCAAUAUCUGAAAAAAUAAGAGGUAAUUAUAACUUUAAGAGGUAAAAAAUAAGAUGCAAACAAACGAUCUGAAUCUGAAAUUUUAAGACAUUGCCUCUUAAUUUUGCAAUUAAGAGGUAAACAAACGGGCCCUAAGGACUAGAAGAUUUGGAUAGUAUCGAUAGAAGAUUUGGAUAGUAUCGAUAGCAGGGAACUUUUAAAUGAUAGUAAUUUGAUAGUUUUUAUAUGUAUGUAAAUUUACUGUUUUAUUAUGGUUUGUAAGUUAUCAUACACCUCCUAGAUGUUUUUUUAAUAACAUGUAAUUGUUUUGGUUUUUGUGGAACCACCAUGAGUAUGAAUUAAUUAAAAAAAUAUUUUCCAAACCAUAAUAUUUUAUUAUAUGAAAAUAUUUUAGUCAUUUUACAUGUAUUUAACCAUCAUUUUCUACCGAUAUUAGUCAUAAGGACCCAGUGCAACAUUUUAAACUCUCAAUGACUAUUGGUAUUAAAAAUUCCUUAAAAAGACUUGUAAUUGUAUUUUUGUCAACCACAAAUAUCAUUUAUAUAAUUUUGUCUAUUUUUCUCAUUGGGUUUAUUUUACUUCACACAUUAUAAAUCAUGUAACAUAAUGUAACAUAAUAAAAUAAUUUAAUAUUUAACAUUUUAAAAUACAUGAUAUCAUCUCAAUCAACUAAUGAUGUAUCAAUUGGUCAUGGGGUUUUUUUUUUAAUACAAGAAGGGAGUUUUUUAUCUUCAAAUCAGCAUAUGACGAGUUCCCAAGCAUUUCUGGCAGGGUUGUUUGUCAUACAUAAUAGUUUUUUUGUCAUACACAACAAUUCAUGCAUUAUAUAAUUGUACAAUAUAACAUUUUAAAGCACCAACUGUUAUGUAUGAAAAAAAAAAUUUAUUGUGUAUGAAUUAACUCCCUACGAAAAAUUAUAGUUUUGUAAUUAUAUGAAAACUGCCAAUAUUCUAUUUUUGUAAAUUAAUCAAGAGUUUACCUUAUUAAUCUACUAUGCAUUAUCAUUUCUUUUAAUUCUUCCAAAAAAAUAUAUAAUAUUAGAUAUUAUGAAUAUAGAAAUGGACACCAGUGUUUUAAAAACCGGUUUGAACCGGCCGGUUGAACGGUCGAACCGGGAACCGGAGGUGAGGGCGAUUCGAUUUGGACCGGUUUUAUAAUGAUUUUCUGACCGGAUUGAACCGGCCGGUUUUGGUAAAAAACCAGUUUAACCGGCAGAAUUGAACCGAAAUGAACCGGGUUGAACCGGACAUUCUUGGAUUUAUGUGUUUGUUUUGGGUUUCUUUGUUUGAUUUUGACUUCUAUAAUAAUUGUUUUUAUAUGUUGCCAAGGGCGGAACAUGGGCUCUAGAAUUGGAGGGGCCGUAACCAGAAAUUUAAAACAAAAUGAUGUAUAGAAAAUAGAAUAUGAUAAUUGUUUGCGAUUGAGUCACAAAAAGAAAAGUGAUGAUCAUAAGUACAUUGAAUGUGAGUGCAUAAGAUAAACUAGUUUCCAGAAAAUUACGAUAUCCUGGGAAUGAGAUAAGGGACGAAUCUACCGAGACACUACAUCAUUUCGCAAGGUAGAGGUCGAGCGAUUCCUUAAUGGGUUUAUUUGUUCUUCCUAUAUUGGGAAAUGUUGAUAGGGUUAUAUUUCUAGGUUUCUCUUCAAGGUUUGGAUCGGUAUGACUAAAGGGCUGUAUAUUAAUACGAAGGUAUUAUACGAAAAGGCUUAUAAGGUUUUGUCUUAUUUGAUCAUCCAUUACAUAUAUAAAUUACAUUGCAUGAAGUAUGUUGAAAUGAAUAUUUUAAUCAAAUGUUUAAUAAUGAACUAUCUGCACAUAACCGAAUGACCUUGUGCAAACAUGAAUAUAUGAUACAGGAAGGCCCGUAAGGUUUGAUCAUGUUGAUGAUUUUGCACCUUGUGUAUAUAUGUUAAGACAUACGAUGUAUAAUGAUUUGUGUCUAAACUUAUAUAGCUCAUGAGACAUUGUUAUCUUACGUAUGUUUGUUAAAUGAUAUGUAUUUCAGUUUCAAGUACUAAGGGGCUGUUUGGUAGGAUCUGAAUUUUUAAGAUCUGAAUUUUUAAGUGGUCUGAAUUUUUAAGAGGGUCUGAAUUUUUAAGAUCUGAAUUUUUAAAUGUUGUUUGUUUAGAACCUCUGAAUUGCAGUGCUGAAUUAUAAAAAUGACCAUUUUGCCCUUCUAUGUUAUUUUUUGCUAAAUUCAAUAUUUUUGCUUAUAAAAUAACCAAAUCAAACAUAACAUUAUCAUUUCGUGAUUAUACCCCAACCAACUAAUUGCAAUAAUACAAGAAAAUCAAUAUUUUAUAUCACAAAUGACAAACCUAUUUCUUAAUUGUGGCACCCAAAACAAUCAAAACCUCCAAUUCAAGAGCUUCAUAGAUCUUCACAAUUCUUCAACUAUAAAAAGGUACAAUAGAGACUUGAGAGCUGAUCCUUGACUGGUUUGACCUUCUAUGGCUUUAAAGGAACUAUUAGAGUUGUGGUUGGCAAUGGGAGGGUAGUAGUUGAACCAUAUAUUGUUUUAAUGGCAGAUAGUAUUGGAUCACUCUCUUCAACCUAUUGAGGCACAAUAUAGCCAAUUCCUGAUGACAAGUUAAUAGACAAUGUAUCAAAACAAUAAGGAGUCAUGAUUUUUGAUAAAUUGAAGAUGAAUGAAUGAAAUGAAAACAGAAUAUGGAAGCAAUUUCAAUAAUUUCAUAAUGAAGUGAAAACAGAAUAUGUCGUGUGUAUCCCUGUACAAACAUUGAAGAAAGCUUCAGCUUACAUCUAAUUCUAGUUUCUUUUCCUGCAAUUGUGCUGAGAAGACAACAAUAUCAAAUUUUCAAUUGAUACCCUGAUUUCAAAAAAAAAAAAAGGAAAAAAAGGAAAACAAUGGUCUGAUUUCAGGAAUGAUACUCUAAUUUCAGGGGAAAAACUACGAAACUCAAUUUUCAAGAAUUAAACUCGAAUUGCAGAGCAAGAGAAAAAGAAAAACUUUACCUAUACAAGAUGUCGGAGGCGAAGUCGACAACACCGGUGGUGUUGCAGAUCGAAUGCAGGCAAUGAAAUCGAUUUUCAGAAGAAGAGAAACAUACCUGUUGGGCAGAAUUCGAAAACGAGUUCGAGCCAGAGGACAUGCGUCGGCGUCGGCGUUGCAGGGUGCAGCAUCGUCGACGUUUUGGGUGGACGUGAACCUCGUCGGAAUCUUGGUGGUGAAGAGAAGCAGAUGCGAAUGGGAGCACACACGAAGGGAAGGAAAGGUGAUGAAGCGUUUGUCGGUCUUUCUUUAGGGCAAAUUAGGUGCGCGUCAUUUUUUUUUUUUUUCAGACCUUGUUCAAUAUCUGAAAAAAUAAGAGGAAAUUAUAACUUUAAGAGGUAAAAAAUAAGAUGCAAACAAACGAUCUGAAUCUGAAAUUUUAAGACAUUGCCUCUUAAUUUUGCAAUUAAGAGGUAAACAAACGGGCCCUAAGGACUAGAAGAUUUGGAUAGUAUCGAUAGAAGAUUUGGAUAGUAUCGAUAGCAGGGAACUUUUAAAUGAUAGUAAUUUGAUAGUUUUUAUAUGUAUGUAAAUUUACUGUUUUAUUAUGGUUUGUAAGUUAUCAUACACCUCCUAGAUGUUUUUUUAAUAACAUGUAAUUGUUUUGGUUUUUGUGGAACCACCAUGAGUAUGAAUUAAUUAAAAAAAUAUUUUCCAAACCAUAAUAUUUUAUUAUAUGAAAAUAUUUUAGUCAUUUUACAUGUAUUUAACCAUCAUUUUCUACCGAUAUUAGUCAUAAGGACNGUAACGAUAUUAGUCAUAAGGACCUAGUGCAACAUUUUAAACUCUCAAUGACUAUUGGUAUUAAAAAUUCCUUAAAAAGACUUGUAAUUGUAUUUUUGUCAGCCACAAAUAUGAUUUAUAUAAUUUUGUCUAUUUUUCUCAUUGGGUUUAUUUUACUUCACACAUUAUAAAUCAUGUAACAUAAUGUAACAUAAUAAAAUAAUUUAAUAUUUAACAUUUUAAAAUACAUGAUAUCAUCUCAAUCAACUAAUGAUGUAUCAAUUGGUCAUGGGGUUUUUUUUUUAAUACAAGAAGGGAGUUUUUUAUCUUCAAAUCAGCAUAUGACGAGUUCCCAAGCAUUUCUGGCAGGGUUGUUUGUCAUACAUAAUAAUUUAUUUGUCAUACACAACAAUUCAUGCAUUAUAUAAUUGUACAAUAUAACAUUUUAAAGCACCAACUGUUAUGUAUGAAAAAAAAAAUUAUUCUGUAUGAAUUAACUCCCUACAAAAAAUUAUAGUUUUGUAAUUAUAUGAAAACUGCCAAUAUUCUAUUUUUGUAAAUUAAUCAAGAGUUUACCUUAUUAAUCUACUAUGCAUUAUCAUUUCUUUUAAUUCUUCCAAAAAAAAUAUAUAAUAUUAGAUAUUAUGAAUAUAGAAAUGGACACCAGUGUUUUAAAAACCGGUUUGAACCGGCCGGUUGAACGGUCGAACCGGGAAUCGGAGGUGAGGGCGAUUCGAUUUGGACCGGUUUUAUAAUGAUUUUCUGACCGGAUUGAACCGGCCGGUUUUGAUAAAAAACCAGUUUAACCGGUAGAAUUGAACCGAAAUGAACCGGGUUGAACCGGACAUUCUUGGAUUUAUGUGUUUGUUUUGGGUUUCUUUGUUUGAUUUUGACUUCUAUAAUAAUUGUUUUUAUAUGUUGCCAAGGGCGGAACAUGGGCUCUAGAAUUGGAGGGGCCGUAACCAGAAAUUUAAAACAAAAUCAUGUAUAAGAAUUUUGUAUGCUACGAAGUUAUUGGUAUCGGUUUUCGGUAAUAAAAACAUUGAACAUCUAGGUAUUUGCAUCUAAAACAAUCGUCGGUUUCUCUUAGGAAGUUACUUGAUUUAUUAUAUUUUGAUAUACACUACUUAAUAUAAUUAACUAAAUUUAACGAAUAAAAAAUAAAUUAAAAUUUUAUAAUUGUAUUUUGAUAAAUAACUAAUUAUUUAUAUUUUCCUAAAAUUAUUUUAAAAAGGUUAUAACAAACUAUAUUUUAAUGAUAAUUAAUAAAUAAGAAAAUUAACUAACAUAAAGAAAUUAUAAUAUAUAUAUAUAACAAAAAGAGUUAAAUUUUUAACAGCAAAUAAAGUUAUUUAAAUAAGAUUUGGGUUAGAUUUUUAUAGCUAUAACUCUAUAUUAGAAUAUUUAAUAAUAAAGUACUCUUAUUGUUGCAGAAUUUUUGUUGUUUCAGUAAAACUUUUAAAAGUUAUCCUACUCCACACCAUCAUAUAUUCAUGUAGAUGCGUUCCGCACAUUCUAGUGAGAGAAAAAUAGACUUACAAGUUACAAGUUUGAAAUCCAGCAAGACGAGUAAAAAUCUCCAAGUCAGAGAGGGGAGUCAACAGAAACGGUGUGUCAAAGCCACAUCACAUGGAUGUUAACCGGUCAGGAUAGCAGUCGGUGAACUGAUAAAGUGAGAGUUGAGCACUCCGGCGACAACCAUAUUUUCCGGUUUCAUUUUUUUUCAGGCAACACUGAUGAUCCUUAGUUUACAGUUUCUCAAAGAUUGUGUUGAUAAAUUGUAUAGUAAAAUAGUUUUUCUUUUGAAGUUUUAUGAAGUUUUAUUUUUAGUUAGGAUUUAUUUUGAUUUUUUCCUUAAUAUUCUAGAUUUCUGUUUGAUUACUUAUCUAGUUUCCUAAAAAAAAAUAAAACCAAACAUACAUAUAUAGUAACGAUAUUAGCAGUAGAAAACCUGGCAUAGCCCCCUUUGGCCCCUAAGAGGAUCCGCCACUAUAUGUUGCAUUCUAUUUACGUUUGUAAUACUACCUCCAUCCCAAAUUAAUUGUCCACAUUUGACUUUUCCAAUCUUUAUUCUUCAACUUUGACCUUAAAUAAUUUUCUUUUUGAUCGAUAAUACUUAAUACAAAAUAUAUGAAUAGAUUGUAUUCUAAAUGUUUUUUCAUUGUUAUAAGUUUCAUCAAGUAAUAUAUAACACAAAUAAAAAUAUUUGAGGUCAAAGUUGAAUAAAAAAGACUUCAAAAGCCAAAAGUUGACAAUUAAUUUGGGACGGAAGGAGUAUUAAAAAGGUAACAAUUAAUCCACAAUCCAAUCACGAAAAAGUUUGGUUAAAUAUAGGGUUUUAAGAAUCUGGUUCAGAUCAGUAUCUGAUCUGAUUGGAUUUAACCGGAUCACAUUCUAGUUGUUGGAAACAAGAUUAGGACCAAAUAAUUGAAACUAGAUUAAACCGCCUCACUUUUUUGGAGAGAAACCGGUUACAAACGAAACUGGUUUUGGGGUCGGAGGAAACCGGUUUAUGUGUUCACCCUAAAAAUCCGACUCUGGUUUGAAACCGGUCCGGAUCAGUUAAAGCAUUAAAAAGGAACAAACAAAAAAGGAUGAUAACAUUCAUUAUAAGUAUUCUUGAAUCUUGAUAAUAUACAAGCAAGAAAAUGUCUGGAUACCUCGUGGUUGUCAGGAGCAAGAAACACAAAUACAUUGAUGCUAAAAACCAAACAUCUAUGAGAUCACUCCAACUGAGCAUACCAAACACCCUGGAUUUUCACAUCCUUAGGAACCUUGGCUCCAAGAUCAGUAUCCGAAGGCUGAAUACUCUCAAACACUCCGAUCACCUCUCCAGUAUCCGGCUUGCUUGAAGUGACACUCAAAGUAAUCUUUCCCGUUGAUGCUGCAACAUUCUUUACGUUCUCUUUAGAAAGCUCCUCUUCAUCUCCCCUCCCUCCUGCCGGCAAAGCAACCGCAUUAUCAUAUCCGGUGGAACCACCUCUACCCUUUGGGUCAAGAAAUGACGAUCCUCUGUAAGAUGGCACUAGAAAUUCUCCACUAAAGCUCUCUGGUUUCCCAGAUGCUACGAGCUGUUUGAUUGUGAAUAGGAAUGGCACACGUUCACCUCCGGGAAGCUGAACAGUCACAGCAGCGUAGUCGAUUCCGUCUUUCUCCUCGAACUUAAUGGAUCCAUCAGGAGACACUUCGAGGGGACCCUCGAUCUCGUCAAGGGUGUAGGUCAAACGGGUCAUGAGUUUGGUUUUUUGGAACUCGGGUGUAGAGUUCUUGCUUACACCUUCGGCUUUGACUGUGAAUGAUGUGGGUUCAAGGCAGAAUUUCUUGGCGUUGUAUUUGCCGGACUUGAAAGCAAACCCAGUAACUCCGCCGUCGAUGGUUGGGCAUUGGUUAGCUGUUCCGGUUCCUUUUACUUCCAUGUAUGUCUUGCUUUGGAUCUCAUCGAAAGUUAACCUUUUUGGACUUCCCUCAGCACUUGCUCCCUGAUACAAUAUCAAUAUACAUGUAUACACACUUACGCAAAUAAACAAAACAGUUAUAAUAUAUACUUGGAUCAAUAUGUCACUAACAGUCAAAGAACCGGAGGAGACAUACCGAAACAACAAGGGCAGAAGUGGCAAGAGCGAAUCCGGCGAUCUUGGCAGCAUCGGUGCAUUUCUGAGCGAAGUCCUUGAGAUCAGCCUGAAGAGAGCAAGACACCCUGGCUCCGGAGGACUCGACACCGAAGGCCUUGCAGAUGCUCGGAGAAGACUUUAGCUGCAGACGGCCGGAGACACCCACCUUGGUUGGUUGCAUGAAAGUUGCCGCUGCUUGCAGUGAAGCUGCCAUUGCUG
This 20099-nucleotide long non-coding RNA is filed under the name Lactuca sativa (garden lettuce). RNAcentral describes it as "long non-coding RNA (LSAT_LNC004704)". Lineage: Eukaryota; Viridiplantae; Streptophyta; Magnoliopsida; Asterales; Asteraceae. The record is from RNAcentral.